RNAcentral lists this ribosomal RNA (484 nucleotides) under uncultured bacterium. Its description in RNAcentral is "partial 16S ribosomal RNA". It matches the Rfam family "Bacterial small subunit ribosomal RNA", at positions 28 to 507 of the family's 1533-position model. The record is from RNAcentral.
AUUGAACGCUGGCGGCGUGCUUUACACAUGCAAGUCGAACGGCAGCGCGGGCUUCGGCCUGGCUGCGAGUGGCGAACGGGUGUGUAAUGCAUCGGAACGUGCCCCGUAGUGGGGGAUAGUCCGGCGAAAGCCGGAUUAAUACCGCAUACGACCUGAGGGUGCAAGCGGGGGACCGAAGGGCCUCUUGCUAUUGGAGCGGCCGAUGUCGGAUUAGCUAGUUGGUGGGGUAAAGGCUUACUAAGGCGACGAUCCGUAGCUGGUCUGAGAGGACGACCAGCCACACUGGAACUGAGCCACGGCCAAGGCGACUACGGGAGGCAGCAGUGGGGAAUUUUGGACAAAGGGGGCAAACCUGAUCCAGCGAUGCCGCGUGCGAGAAGAAGGCCUUCGGGUUGUAAACCGCUUUUGUUCGGGAAGAAAUCCUCUGGGCUAAUACCCCGGGGGGAUGACGGUACCGGAAGAAUAAGCACCGGCUAACUACGUG